GACGAGUGGCGGACGGGUGAGUAAUGUCUGGGAAACUGCCUGAUGGAGGGGGAUAACUACUGGAAACGGUAGCUAAUACCGCAUAACGUCGCAAGACCAAAGAGGGGGACCUUCGGGCCUCUUGCCAUCGGAUGUGCCCAGAUGGGAUUAGCUAGUAGGUGGGGUAACGGCUCACCUAGGCGACGAUCCCUAGCUGGUCUGAGAGGAUGACCAGCCACACUGGAACUGAGACACGGUCCAGACUCCUACGGGAGGCAGCAGUGGGGAAUAUUGCACAAUGGGCGCAAGCCUGAUGCAGCCAUGCCGCGUGUAUGAAGAAGGCCUUCGGGUUGUAAGGUACUUUCAGCGGGGAGGAAGGGAGUAAAGUUAAUACCUUUGCUCAUUGACGUUACCCGCAGAAGAAGCACCGGCUAACUCCGUGCCAGCAGCCGCGGUAAUACGGAGGGUGCAAGCGUUAAUCGGAAUUACUGGGCGUAAAGCGCACGCAGGCGGUUUGUUAAGUCAGAUGUGAAAUCCCCGGGCUCAACCUGGGAACUGCAUCUGAUACUGGCAAGCUUGAGUCUCGUAGAGGGGGGUAGAAUUCCAGGUGUAGCGGUGAAAUGCGUAGAGAUCUGGAGGAAUACCGGUGGCGAAGG
This 635-nucleotide ribosomal RNA is filed under the name uncultured bacterium. RNAcentral's name for it is "bacterial SSU rRNA". It matches the Rfam family "Bacterial small subunit ribosomal RNA", at positions 90 to 721 of the family's 1533-position model. The record is from RNAcentral.